This 116-nucleotide non-coding RNA is filed under the name Homo sapiens (human). Lineage: Eukaryota; Metazoa; Chordata; Mammalia; Primates; Hominidae. The record is from Rfam by way of RNAcentral.
GCCGGGCACAGUGGCUCGUGCCUGUAAUCCCAGCUUUUGGGAGGCCAAGGCGGGAGGAUUACUUGAGCCCAGGAGUUUCAGACCAGCCUGGGCAACAUAGUGAGAUCCCAUCUCUA